AACAGAGUUCCCAUACUAUUUAAUCAUACAUACGAAAUUGAUGUUUGUCAUUAACAAAUAACAAAUCAAGUCAUUCUUCAGACAAUUCUAACUAAUUAAUAAAUAGUCGGUCAACUCUAAAAUAAUGCUUUUGAUGUUGCCUUAGAUUCUUCGAUAAUGCUUAUGAUGUGUGUGCACUCAUAUAUUUUAAUAUUCACAAUAUUGCUUUAUGAUUUGUACCUAAUUGUCCUCAAUAUGUUUCUGGUUUUUUUUUGAGAUAUUUUGUAAUCAUACAAGAGCUUGAGAUCUUUGCUUCAAAAGGCAAUUCAAACAUCACGUGCUAAAAAACUAAAAAAGAAAGAAUCUGCCAUAGGAAACCAUCAGACAUUCAGCAUGCAUAGCAGUAGAGGCCAAAUGCUCAGGAGUCUUAAUCAAAUAGAAUGGAGGCAUCAUACAAUCUAUUCAACCAAAAGCUUUCAAGAUAGUCCCCUUUGAAACUAGGAGUGAUAUUCUACCAAGCAAGAAGCCUCUUGCAUGUGGGGAUCUAAUCUACUUUGCUUCUUAGAAGGGGAAAUGAGAACCUGACAAAACAUAGACCAAAAUAUUAGGCAGCCUAGAUAUUUUCUUUGCAAACUGUUAUAUUAUAAAACAGCAUCAAGAGGAAAUAAAAUGAAUCAGCCAAGGAUCACAGUGAGACUAAGUAUACCAGCCAAGAAUCUCAAAAGGGCAGUAAGGCAUCCAGAGGUUAUUCAGUUAUGCUUUAUUAAAGUAUCCUCAUCAAUGGCAAUAACAAUGAGUAAAAAGGGAAUAAUUAGAGGGAAGUAAAGGGUCAUAGUAUGUUACUGAAAUCAAAAGGUUUUCACUAACCCAUACUCAGCUAUAAAUAGGGUUCCAUACCACUAUAAGAAAGGGGGGGAGACACACGAAAAUGGAGGGAGAUUACACAUACAGGUGACCCACCAUAGUUACAGAGCAUUCAGAAUACACAUACACAACAAAUACCCAAAAGAGAGUGAUAUACAUUCAUAUAUCCACACAUAUCAUACAAAUCAGAGGGCACAACACAGAAUUUGUAUCUGCUCUCUAUCACACACAUAGAAAGAAGAGAAAAACACACAGCUAUCAUUCCUCAUACACUGACCUCACACACAUAACCGAGGAUGAUUCCGGAAGCAUAUCUCACAUACACGAGAAAGGGAUAGGUUGCUGAUCAAGAACAUAGAGAUAAAGGUAAUCACAGCAAGGUUAUACACAGGAACACUGUCAGGUAAGAAGGUGUUUUUUAUUUGGUGAUCAAUCUGUGUUUUGAACUUAGACGAUAAAUUUAUAAACAAUUUUGCUUAGCCAUACAGAAUUACAUACAUCCCAUUCCCAUUCAAUUGAUUUCGCAGAGACACAUAUACUGUCAUUUAACCAAUAACAAAAGUAACUAAUGCUAUAUAA
This 1422-nucleotide long non-coding RNA is filed under the name Lupinus angustifolius (narrow-leaved blue lupine). RNAcentral describes it as "long non-coding RNA (LANG_LNC003243)". Lineage: Eukaryota; Viridiplantae; Streptophyta; Magnoliopsida; Fabales; Fabaceae. The record is from RNAcentral.